Acinonyx jubatus (cheetah) is the source of this 1601-nucleotide long non-coding RNA. RefSeq lists it as uncharacterized. The transcript is spliced from 6 exons. The record is from RefSeq and is a predicted model, not a curated record. NCBI's taxonomy places the organism in Eukaryota, Metazoa, Chordata, Mammalia, Carnivora, Felidae.
UACCAACUUUCUAGCUUGGGCUCUCAUCUUCAUGCACCUGGAAAGUCAUAAUAGCUUCCUCACUAGUCUUCCUGCCACCAGACUGUCCCCCCUCCCUAUACCCUUUCUCCACACCAAACCCAGAGUUAUUAUUAUCUAAAAUCCAAACCUAAUCAUCUCACUCGCCAUUCCCCAACUGCCCACUUAUGUCCUUCUGUGACUUCUCACUGCCUCAGAAUCCAGUCAGAGUCCUUGCAGUUCCUCCAGGAUCCAGCCAAGAUAUAUCCCUUUGGUCUCACCUCCAGGACCUUUUUAUCUUACAGCUGGCAUCUGUGACUGGACACUGUGGAUACUCUAGUGGAUAAGGUAGACAGGACCCUGCCUUAUGGACUUUACAUUUUAGUGAGGUGACUUCCAAACCAUGGCUCAAGGUGGUUGCUUGAACUCCAUCUGUUAUACCUACAUCCCAGUCAUCAAAAGGAAACAGGAGAGAAGGGCAUUCCCAGGUGAGGGAGAAGCAUAGAUGAAAUUGUGGAAUGGAGAGGCAUAGCUUGACCAAUGAAGGGCAGGAGGCUCCAUGGGGCAGCAGCAUGGAAGGGGAUAGAGUGAAAGGUGAGAGACAGAGACAGAGCAUGAGCAAGGGAGGGACAGAGAGAGAGGGAGACACAGAAUCCAAACUAGACUCCAGGUUCUGAGCUGUCAGCAUAGAGCCCGAAGUGGGGCUGGAACCUGUGAACCACGAGAUCAUGACCUGAGCCGAAGUUGCACACUCAACCAACUGAGCCACCCAGGACAUCUUUUCGUAACCAUCAAGUUUUGAAGGAUGUGGCAAAGCUCAAGGUCCAGAUGGUAGCGGGAUUUCAAGACCCCAGUGGGAGGCAAAGAUGAUGAAGAAUAAAGAGGCACAGGUCUGUGCACAGUCCUGCUACUUCACUGGGGUGGGGGAGAGAUGAAGGGUCACUGGGAACUUGUUUACUUAAAAAGAGCUUUUUUAAAUGUCUAUUUAUUUAUUUUGAGAGAGAAAAAGGAUGUGUGCCUGCGGGGGAGGGGCAGAGAGAGGGAGACAGAAUCCAAAGCAGGCUCCCGGCUCUGAGCUGUCACCACAGAGCCCAAUGCGGGGCUCGAACCCACAAACCGUGGGAUCAUGACCUGAGCUGAAGUCGGACACUUAACCAACCGAGCCACCCAAGCGGCCCAAAAGAUUUUUUAAAAAAGAGACAGCCCUUAGUUAACAUAAGAUAAGAGAGAAAGCAACAGAAUUCAUUUUAAGAAAUAAAGUUCUAGUCUCAGGUCAGCCUCUAACUUGAAAUGUGACCUCAGUCAAGCCAUUCAUUUUCCUACAGUUUCCUUUCAGAACUAUUCUUUAAUAGGAAUAUAUAAUUGUUAAAUUAUAUACAAUUGACAAAAACAAAAUAUUGCAUCAAAGCACUUAAACAAGUUUAAAAUCUCGUUCAGAUUUAAUGAAGUGAUUUUUAAUGAAGUGCAUGUCUAGAAAGGUAGAAGGGAAAUUUCAUCAAUAAAGGUUGAGGUCUAGCCAAUUGUUGUCCAUUUUUCAUGAAAAGAAAACACUCUAGUAUAUAUUGGAGACACUAGCACCUAACCGAAUAUACCUUGAAAACGGA